This 468-nucleotide ribosomal RNA is filed under the name uncultured bacterium. RNAcentral describes it as "partial 16S ribosomal RNA". It matches the Rfam family "Bacterial small subunit ribosomal RNA", at positions 28 to 507 of the family's 1533-position model. The record is from RNAcentral.
GACGAACGCUGGCGGCGUGCUUAACACAUGCAAGUCGAACGGAAAGGCCCUGCUUUUGUGGGGUGCUCGAGUGGCGAACGGGUGAGUAACACGUGAGUAACCUGCCCUUGACUUUGGGAUAACUUCAGGAAACUGGGGCUAAUACCGGAUAGGAGCUCCUGCUGCAUGGUGGGGGUUGGAAAGUUUCGGCGGUUGGGGAUGGACUCGCGGCUUAUCAGCUUGUUGGUGGGGUAGUGGCUUACCAAGGCUUUGACGGGUAGCCGGCCUGAGAGGGUGACCGGCGACAUUGGGAAUGAGAGACGGCCCAGACGCCUACGGGAGGCAGCAGUGGGGAAGAUUGCGCAAUGGGCGGAAGCCUGAGGCAGCAACGCCGCGUGAGGGAUGAAGGCCUUCGGGUUGGAAACCGCUUUCGCCUGUGACGAAGCGUGAGGGACGGUAAUGGGUAAAGAAGCACCGGCUAACUACGUG